GACGAACGCUGGCGGCAGGCCUAACACAUGCAAGUCGAGCGCGCCCUUCGGGGUGAGCGGCGGACGGGUUAGUAACGCGUGGGAAUAUGCCCAAAGGUACGGAAUAGCCUCUGGAAACGGAGAGUAAUACCGUAUGUGCCCUUCGGGGGAAAGAUUUAUCGCCUUUGGAUUAGCCCGCGUUAGAUUAGGUAGUUGGUGGGGUAAUGGCCUACCAAGCCUACGAUCUAUAGCUGGUUUUAGAGGAUGAUCAGCAACACUGGGACUGAGACACGGCCCAGACUCCUACGGAGGCAGCAGUGGGGAAUCUUGGACAAUGGGGGCAACCCUGAUCCAGCCAUGCCGCGUGAGUGAUGAAGGCCCUAGGGUCGUAAGCUCUUUCCGAGAUAAUG
Molecule: ribosomal RNA, 389 nt
Filed under: uncultured bacterium
Lineage: Bacteria
Description: bacterial SSU rRNA
Rfam family: Bacterial small subunit ribosomal RNA
Source: RNAcentral